This 253-nucleotide ribosomal RNA is filed under the name uncultured bacterium. RNAcentral's name for it is "partial 16S ribosomal RNA". It matches the Rfam family "Bacterial small subunit ribosomal RNA", at positions 524 to 776 of the family's 1533-position model. The record is from RNAcentral.
UACGUAGGGUCCGAGCGUUGUCCGGAAUUACUGGGCGUAAAGAGCUCGUAGGUGGUUUGUCGCGUUGUUCGUGAAAACUCACAGCUCAACUGUGGGCGUGCGGGCGAUACGGGCAGACUAGAGUACUGCAGGGGAGACUGGAAUUCCUGGUGUAGCGGUGGAAUGCGCAGAUAUCAGGAGGAACACCGGUGGCGAAGGCGGGUCUCUGGGCAGUAACUGACGCUGAGGGGCGAAAGCGUGGGGAGCGAACAGG